This 586-nucleotide ribosomal RNA is filed under the name uncultured bacterium. RNAcentral describes it as "partial 16S ribosomal RNA". It matches the Rfam family "Bacterial small subunit ribosomal RNA", at positions 355 to 938 of the family's 1533-position model. The record is from RNAcentral.
UGGGGAAUUUUGGACAAUGGGCGCAAGCCUGAUCCAGCCAUGCCGCGUGCGGGAAGAAGGCCUUCGGGUUGUAAACCGCUUUUGCCAGGGAAGAAAUCUUCUGAGUUAAUACCUCGGGAGGAUGACGGUACCUGAAGAAUAAGCACCGGCUAACUACGUGCCAGCAGCCGCGGUAAUACGUAGGGUGCAAGCGUUAAUCGGAAUUACUGGGCGUAAAGCGUGCGCAGGCGGUUUUGUAAGACAGAGGUGAAAUCCCCGGGCUCAACCUGGGAACUGCCUUUGUGACUGCAAGGCUUGAGUGCGGCAGAGGGGGAUGGAAUUCCGCGUGUAGCAGUGAAAUGCGUAGAUAUGCGGAGGAACACCGAUGGCGAAGGCAAUCCCCUGGGCCUGCACUGACGCUCAUGCACGAAAGCGUGGGGAGCAAACAGGAUUAGAUACCCUGGUAGUCCACGCCCUAAACGAUGUCAACUGGUUGUUGGGAAGGUUCCUUCUCAGUAACGUAGCUAACGCGUGAAGUUGACCGCCUGGGGAGUACGGCCGCAAGGUUGAAACUCAAAUGAAUUGACGGGGUCAUAGGCUGUUUCCU